UUGACACCAGCACCUCCUUCGACGCUCUCUGACCUGAGCUCAUUCUCUCUCACUCUUGCCUCCUUCCCCUCAUGCUCUAUUUCCAUGGCUACUGUCUCUCCCUCAUUAACCACCUCCGUCCCCUCACCGGCGCCAUCGCCUCUGCGGGCAAGCUCUCUCUGGCCGCAAGUUGGUGCUUCUCGUCCAACAGAAGGCGGAGUGGCGGGAGAGGAAACGCGCCCGACGCAGGAAGCGACGGGAAUCCGGAUCCGACGGUGAAACCGGGUCGAGGUCCGAGAAGAAGAAAAUCAGAAGAAAGAGAGGAAAAUGGAGAGAGAAGAAGACGACCCAGUGAGCGAGGUUCUCAGAGAUCGAUUCAGCUUUCCACCAUCUCUAUUGCUGAUGCCGAAGGUACUAAAAUCUUCACACUCAUUAAUUCGACGGCUUUUGAUUUCGUUUCUGGUUUUUUUCUCAGUUUUCAAUUAUAGUUCUCCAAGCAGCGAAGAGAAGGGGCAUGGAGAUAUCAGAACCCGUGGUGGCUUGCAUUUCCGACUUGACCUUCAAAUUUACUGUUCUUAUGGCGCAUAGCACUGAAGUUUUUCAUUGUAUUGACCUGGUGGAAUGGGUAUCUUGAAUUCGAUUCGGUAUCUUGAAUUCUUGCUGUGUUUGAUAGUGUGAAUUUCUCUCAGGUAGUUGCUGGGGUUUCUUUGGGCACCCAAAAUAUAAUGGUGCAAGGUUUGCUGCUUGUAUAAUAUUUGUGGGACUGAUGUUGAUUAAGGUCCAGUUGUUCAUGCCUUUGCGAUAGUUACUCUGAACUCAGCUUUCUUCUAUGUAGACAAAAGGAAGGUUGAAUCUGAGGUCAGUUGACUCAUAUGUAUCUAUUUUUAUCAUCUUCUCAGGCAAUAUUCAUAUGGUGGUGAAUACUGGUUUUCAGUUUGAACUUAUCAAGACUCUGGUAAUAAUAGAUGAAUUUACUAUUGGCCCUCACAAAUUAUGUAUGUGAUUACUGAAACCACGGAACAUGAUUUCUAGAAUGCACAAAACAGGUCGCCCUGUACUUGUUGGCACAACUAGUGUUGAGCAGAGUGAUUCAUUGUCUGAGCAUUUGCAAGAAGUUGGCAUUCCCCAUAAGGUCGAGGAACAGACAUAAUCCUUGGUGGGAAUGCAGAAUUUAUGGUGAGGUUGCGUGAGAUGCUUAUGCCAAGAGUUGUAAAACUAACUGAAGGACUCAGUGAAAAAACUUCUGCCGAAAAAGUCCUAGAAGAAUGUUUUUUUUCAAGUUAAUGAAAAGCUAUUUCCAUGCAAACUGUCCAAUGAAAAGACCAAGUUAGCUGAGGAAGCUGUGAAUUUAGCUGUUGAAACUUGGGGUCAGAGAUUAUUGACGGAGCUAGAAGCAGAGGAGCGUCUUUCUUACUCUUGCGAAAAGGGACCUGCUUUGGAUGAAGUGAUAUAUACCCCAAAUCUCAAUUAUUCAACUCAGUCCAGGUAUAUUAUUCUUUUCCAGCCUUUAGGGACUGUCAAGUUCGGGUCAUGCUGAGUAUUGGGUGUUUUUAGUGGUUCUCACUGGUAGUAACAGGAUUGUCCGAGUUUUGUGAGACAUUUUAUAGAAUGGAAAUAGCAUAGGGCUAUUGGUUCGAUAUAACGUAGUAGCAACCUUACAUCUGGAAUGAACCAUAUGUGAUAUUAUUAAUUUGGAACUGAAAUCAAGAACUUUCAGAGAAUGUUAAUGUUUGAAUGUACCAUGUGUUGUUAAUGUAACUGCCCUUUUAUCACAUUUAUUGAUGUUUCUCUUUCUAUUACAUGCAUGUUGCUGUGUUAAUUGAUUGAACCUAGUCAUGCAUUGUUAAAAUAUACUUUAUCAAGGAGAGUAACAAACAUCUCCUUUGA
This is an RNA transcript of Rosa rugosa (rugosa rose), 1866 nucleotides long. It is a transcript of the gene named protein translocase subunit SECA1, chloroplastic-like, with no coding region annotated. The record is from RefSeq and is a predicted model, not a curated record. Lineage: Eukaryota; Viridiplantae; Streptophyta; Magnoliopsida; Rosales; Rosaceae. The transcript has 7 exons.